RNAcentral lists this ribosomal RNA (480 nucleotides) under uncultured bacterium. RNAcentral describes it as "bacterial SSU rRNA". It matches the Rfam family "Bacterial small subunit ribosomal RNA", at positions 25 to 518 of the family's 1533-position model. The record is from RNAcentral.
CAGGAUGAACGCUGGCGGCGUGCUUAACACAUGCAAGUCGAACGAAGCAGCUUCUGCUGCAAGAAAGUGACUUAGUGGCGGACGGGUGAGUAACGCGUGGGUAACCUGCCUCAUACAGGGGGAUAACAGUUGGAAACGACUGCUAAGACCGCAUAACCCGCUAGUGUCGCAUGACACGGACGGAAAAUAUUUAUAGGUAUGAGAUGGGCCCGCGUCUGAUUAGCUAGUUGGUAAGGUAACGGCUUACCAAGGCGACGAUCAGUAGCCGACUUGAGAGAGUGAUCGGCCACAUUGGGACUGAGACACGGCCCAAACUCCUACGGGAGGCAGCAGUGGGGAAUAUUGGACAAUGGGGGAAACCCUGAUCCAGCCGACGCCGCGUGAGUGAAGAAGUAUUUCGGUAUGUAAAGCUCUAUCAGCAGGGAAGAUAAUGACAGUACCUGACUAAGAAGCCCCGGCUAACUACGUGCCAGCCGCCGC